GGACGAGUGUCACUGGAAGGUGACGCGAAGUGGUUGAUGCCAUGCUUCCAAGAAAAGCUUCUAAGCUUCAGAUACAAAGGAACCGUACUGUAAACCGACACAGGUGAUCAGGUAGAGAAUACCAAGGCGCUUGAGAGAACUCGGGUGAAGGAACUAGGCAAAAUGGUACCGUAACUUCGGGAGAAGGUACGCCGGUUUGGGUGAUGGGACUUGCUCCUUGAGCCUGGGCUGGCCGAAGUGACCAGGUGGCUGCGACUGUUUAUUAAAAACAUAGCACUGUGCAAACACGUAAGUGGACGUAUACGGUGUGACGCCUGCCCGGUGCCGGAAGGUUAAUUGAUGGGGUUAUCUUCGGAGAAGCUCUUGAUCGAAGCCCCGGUAAACGGCGGCCGUAACAAUAACGGUCCUAAGGUAGCGAAAUUCCUUGUCGGGUAAGUUCCGACCUGCACGAAUGGCGUAACGAUGGCCACACUGUCUCCACCCGAGACUCAGUGAAAUUGAAAUCGCUGUUAAGAUGCAGUGUACCCGCGGCUAGACGGAAAGACCCCGUGAACCUUUACUAUAGCUUCACACUGGACUCUGACCUUACUUGUGUAGGAUAGCUGGGAGGCUUUGAAGCGGUGGCGCCAGCCAUCGUGGAGCCAACCUUGAAAUACCAGCCUGGUAAUGUUGGGGUUCUAACUCAGGUCCGUAAUCCGGAUCGAGGACAGUGUGUGGUGGGUAGUUUGACUGGGGCGGUCUCCUCCCAAAGAGUAACGGAGGAGCACGAAGGUGCGCUAAUCACGGUCGGAAAUCGUGAGGUUAGUGUAAAGGCACAAGCGCGCUUGACUGCGAGUCUGACAAGACGAGCAGGUACGAAAGUAGGUCUUAGUGAUCCGGUGGUUCUGUAUGGAAGGGCCAUCGCUCAACGGAUAAAAGGUACUCCGGGGAUAACAGGCUGAUACCGCCCAAGAGUUCACAUCGACAGCGGUGUUUGGCACCUCGAUGUCGGCUCAUCACAUCCUGGGGCUGAAGCCGGUCCCAAGGGUAUGGCUGUUCGCCAUUUAAAGUGGUACGCGAGCUGGGUUUAGAACGUCGUGAGACAGUUCGGUCCCUAUCUGCCGUGGGCGUUGGAGAAUUGAGGGAAGCUGCUCCUAGUACGAGAGGACCGGAGUGUACGAACCGCUGGUGUUCGGGUUGUGUCGCCAGACGCAUUGCCCGGUAGCUACGUUCGGACAGGAUAAGCGCUGAAAGCAUCUAAGCGCGAAGCCCCUCCCAAGAUAAGUUCUCCCUGGCCCCUUGAGGGUCCUGAAGGGCCGUCGAAGACUACGACGUUGAUAGGCUGGGUGUGUAAGCGUUGUAAGGCGUUGAGCUAACCAGUACUAAUUGCCCGUGAGGCUUGACC
Molecule: ribosomal RNA, 1384 nt
Filed under: metagenome
Description: bacterial LSU rRNA
Rfam family: Bacterial large subunit ribosomal RNA
Source: RNAcentral